CCUCAAAAACAAAACUGAAAUUUAUGUUGUCAUUUAUAUAAAUAAGAUAUGAUGGAUUAUUUUUUUCUGCUUAUCAGAAGAGAAAAAGAAUCAAAAGAAAAGUGUAAGGUUUGGACUGGAGCCAUCAAGUAAGAAAACUUCUGUCUCCUCUGUCCCUCCUCCCCACUGUAAGAUCAGAGGAGAAACAUGGGAGAUGAGGGGUGAGAGACAUAUGUUAAAGAGACCAUGCACCAACCUCCACCCCAAACUUACAGAGUUACAGAUCUAAGAUGGAUAGAAGGGGAUAUUCAAAAGAGCUCUAAAUCCAUCUGACAUUAAGGUGUCUAAAUUACCAGGACUGAAUUUAAAGAAGUAGAAUGAAAAUUGAUGGGGAAAAAUCAGAUACCAAGUGUUAGAAUAUGAAGCAGCAGUAUUUCUAAUAUCUUGCUAGAGGGAAGUGAACUGAUAAACUCAUUUAAAAUUAUCUCAUGAUGUUGAAGAUAUGCACACUCCUAUGACCCAGUAAUUCUGUUUCUGGAUAUUUAGCCAAGAAUCACUUGUGAAUAUGUGCACCAGGACACAGGUACAAAAGUGAUUGUAGCAAUACUUCAGUAGUAAAAGCAAACAAAACUCUGGCUAACAAAAAUAUUUAUGGCAAAAAAGGGAUAAAGAAUGGCAGUUGUUCACACAAAAGAAUAUUAUACAAUGAAAAUGAAUUAAUUAAAGCAAUAUCUCAAAAUUAUCAUGAAUACUAAUAAUAUAAUGUUGAGUAAAAGCCAGACCUAGAAGACUGUAUAUAGCUUGAUUACUUUGUUCUAAACUAUCAUUUGCAAUGCAUUAUUUUUUUUUUAAUCAGAGGGAUAAUAGUUGUAUCAGAUAAGAGGAGGCAAGAGGUAGAAUGGGGAGGUGAACAUAAAUGUAAGUUUUGUCACUGUUUUAACUCUAACUGGGUGGUUGAUUUAUGGGUAUUGAUUAUUUUUAUUAUUAAUUAAUAACAGAUGAAGAAGAAGAGGGCUAUAAAUAAUGAUACUAUUUAAUGAAAGAAAUAUUAUGCUUUUUCCAAUGUUGUACUCCUGAAGUCCAUUAAAAAUAUAUAAAAAGAAAAGUUAUGAAGUUAGGUGGAGAUGAAUUCAGUGAGAAUGAAAGGUGAGUGACAGAUCAUGAUAAAGGCAUUUAUUGGAAAAAAUUAAAUUGUCAUACGUUCAUUCCCCAACAAAAGACUUUUUCAAUA
Molecule: long non-coding RNA, 1210 nt
Filed under: Bos indicus x Bos taurus (hybrid cattle)
Lineage: Eukaryota; Metazoa; Chordata; Mammalia; Artiodactyla; Bovidae
Description: lncRNA (ENSBIXG00000018157.1)
Source: RNAcentral